AGCGCCUACCGCAUGGUGGGUGUUGGAAAGAUUUAUCGGUUUUGGAUGGACUCGCGGCCUAUCAGCUUGUUGGUGAGGUAAUGGCUCACCAAGGCGACGACGGGUAGCCGGCCUGAGAGGGUGACCGGCCACACUGGGACUGAGACACGGCCCAGACUCCUACGGGAGGCAGCAGUGGGGAAUAUUGCACAAUGGGCGCAAGCCUGAUGCAGCGACGCCGCGUGAGGGAUGACGGCCUUCGGGUUGUAAACCUCUUUCAGUAGGGAAGAAGCGAAAGUGACGGUACCUGCAGAAGAAGCACCGGCUAACUACGUGCCAGCAGCCGCGGUAAUACGUAGGGUGCGAGCGUUAUCCGGAAUUAUUGGGCGUAAAGAGCUCGUAGGCGGUUUGUCGCGUCUGUCGUGAAAGUCCGGGGCUUAACCCCGGAUCUGCGGUGGGUACGGGCAGACUAGAGUGCAGUAGGGGAGACUGGAAUUCCUGGUGUAGCGGUGGAAUGCGCAGAUAUCAGGAGGAACACCGAUGGCGAAGGCAGGUCUCUGGGCUGUAACUGACGCUGAGGAGCGAAAGCAUGGGGAGCGAACAGGAUUAGAUACCCUGGUAGUCCAUGCCGUAAACGUUGGGCACUAGGUGUGGGG
Molecule: ribosomal RNA, 635 nt
Filed under: Micrococcus luteus
Lineage: Bacteria; Bacillati; Actinomycetota; Actinomycetes; Micrococcales; Micrococcaceae
Description: bacterial SSU rRNA
Rfam family: Bacterial small subunit ribosomal RNA
Source: RNAcentral